AAGACACUAGUUAAAAGCGCGAUGACAUUGCCCUGCCAGGGCGAAGGUGUAGGUUGAAAUCCUGCGUGUCUUA
Molecule: transfer RNA, 73 nt
Filed under: Diploprion bifasciatus
Lineage: Eukaryota; Metazoa; Chordata; Actinopteri; Perciformes; Serranidae
Description: tRNA-Gly
Rfam family: tRNA
About the family: Transfer RNA (tRNA) molecules are approximately 80 nucleotides in length. Their secondary structure includes four short double-helical elements and three loops (D, anti-codon, and T loops).
Source: RNAcentral